RNAcentral lists this ribosomal RNA (484 nucleotides) under uncultured bacterium. Its description in RNAcentral is "partial 16S ribosomal RNA". It matches the Rfam family "Bacterial small subunit ribosomal RNA", at positions 28 to 507 of the family's 1533-position model. The record is from RNAcentral.
GACGAACGCUGGCGGCGGGCUUAACACAUGCAAGUCGAACGGAAAAAGCCUGCUUGUUCGUGGUUCUCGAGGCGGAAGGGGGUGUAAAGCACGGGAGUAAGCUUGGCAGUGGGGGGGAACGACCGGAAAAAGGUGGGACUACUGCAUGAGACGAGCGGGUGCAGGAGGGGGGGGUUUGGAAAGUUUGCUCUCAGAGGAGCGUAGGUCGGAUUAGCUAGUUGGUGGGGUGAAGGCCUGCCAAGGCGACCAUUCGCGGCUGGUCUGAGAGGAGGAUCAGUCACACUGGAACUUAGACACGGUCCAGACUCCUACGGGAGGCAGCAGUGGGGAAUAUUGGACAAUGGGCGAAAGCCUGAUCCAGCCAUGCCGCGUGUGUGAAGAAGGUCUUCGGGUUGUAAAGCACGUUAAGUUGGGAGGAAGGGCAGUAAGUUAAUACCUUGCUGUUUUGACGUUACCAACAGAAUAAGCACCGGCUAACUUCGUG